CGUACACAAAAAUGCACAUGCUGUGAGCUCGAUGAGUAGGGCGGGACACGUGGUAUCCUGUCUGAAUAUGGGGGGACCAUCCUCCAAGGCUAAAUACUCCUGACUGACCGAUAGUGAACCAGUACCGUGAGGGAAAGGCGAAAAGAACCCCGGCGAGGGGAGUGAAAAAGAACCUGAAACCGUGUACGUACAAGCAGUGGGAGCCUCUUUUAUGGGGUGACUGCGUACCUUUUGUAUAAUGGGUCAGCGACUUAUAUUCUGUAGCAAGGUUAACCGAAUAGGGGAGCCGAAGGGAAACCGAGUCUUAACUGGGCGUUAAGUUGCAGGGUAUAGACCCGAAACCCGGUGAUCUAGCCAUGGGCAGGUUGAAGGUUGGGUAACACUAACUGGAGGACCGAACCGACUAAUGUUGAAAAAUUAGCGGAUGACUUGUGGCUGGGGGUGAAAGGCCAAUCAAACCGGGAGAUAGCUGGUUCUCCCCGAAAGCUAUUUAGGUAGCGCCUCGUGAAUUCAUCUCCGGGGGUAGAGCACUGUUUCGGCAAGGGGGUCAUCCCGACUUACCAACCCGAUGCAAACUGCGAAUACCGGAGAAUGUUAUCACGGGAGACACACGGCGGGUGCUAACGUCCGUCGUGAAGAGGGAAACAACCCAGACCGCCAGCUAAGGUCCCAAAGUCAUGGUUAAGUGGGAAACGAUGUGGGAAGGCCCAGACAGCCAGGAUGUUGGCUUAGAAGCAGCCAUCAUUUAAAGAAAGCGUAAUAGCUCACUGGUCGAGUCGGCCUGCGCGGAAGAUGUAACGGGGCUAAACCAUGCACCGAAGCUGCGGCAGCGACGCUUAUGCGUUGUUGGGUAGGGGAGCGUUCUGUAAGCCUGUGAAGGUGUGCUGUGAGGCAUGCUGGAGGUAUCAGAAGUGCGAAUGCUGACAUAAGUAACGAUAAAGCGGGUGAAAAGCCCGCUCGCCGGAAGACCAAGGGUUCCUGUCCAACGUUAAUCGGGGCAGGGUGAGUCGACCCCUAAGGCGAGGCCGAAAGGCGUAGUCGAUGGGAAACAGGUUAAUAUUCCUGUACUUGGUGUUACUGCGAAGGGGGGACGGAGAAGGCUAUGUUGGCCGGGCGACGGUUGUCCCGGUUUAAGCGUGUAGGCUGGUUUUCCAGGCAAAUCCGGAAAAUCAAGGCUGAGGCGUGAUGACGAGGCACUACGGUGCUGAAGCAACAAAUGCCCUGCUUCCAGGAAAAGCCUCUAAGCAUCAGGUAACAUCAAAUCGUACCCCAAACCGACACAGGUGGUCAGGUAGAGAAUACCAAGGCGCUUGAGAGAACUCGGGUGAAGGAACUAGGCAAAAUGGUGCCGUAACUUCGGGAGAAGGCACGCUGAUAUGUAGGUGAAGCGACUUGCUCGUGGAGCUGAAAUCAGUCGAAGAUACCAGCUGGCUGCAACUGUUUAUUAAAAACACAGCACUGUGCAAACACGAAAGUGGACGUAUACGGUGUGACGCCUGCCCGGUGCCGGAAGGUUAAUUGAUGGGGUCAGCGCAAGCGAAGCUCUUGAUCGAAGCCCCGGUAAACGGCGGCCGUAACUAUAACGGUCCUAAGGUAGCGAAAUUCCUUGUCGGGUAAGUUCCGACCUGCACGAAUGGCGUAAUGAUGGCCAGGCUGUCUCCACCCGAGACUCAGUGAAAUUGAACUCGCUGUGAAGAUGCAGUGUACCCGCGGCAAGACGGAAAGACCCCGUGAACCUUUACUAUAGCUUGACACUGAACAUUGAGCCUUGAUGUGUAGGAUAGGUGGGAGGCUUUGAAGUGUGGACGCCAGUCUGCAUGGAGCCGACCUUGAAAUACCACCCUUUAAUGUUUGAUGUUCUAACGUUGACCCGUAAUCCGGGUUGCGGACAGUGUCUGGUGGGUAGUUUGACUGGGGCGGUCUCCUCCUAAAGAGUAACGGAGGAGCACGAAGGUUGGCUAAUCCUGGUCGGACAUCAGGAGGUUAGUGCAAUGGCAUAAGCCAGCUUGACUGCGAGCGUGACGGCGCGAGCAGGUGCGAAAGCAGGUCAUAGUGAUCCGGUGGUUCUGAAUGGAAGGGCCAUCGCUCAACGGAUAAAAGGUACUCCGGGGAUAACAGGCUGAUACCGCCCAAGAGUUCAUAUCGACGGCGGUGUUUGGCACCUCGAUGUCGGCUCAUCACAUCCUGGGGCUGAAGUAGGUCCCAAGGGUAUGGCUGUUCGCCAUUUAAAGUGGUACGCGAGCUGGGUUUAGAACGUCGUGAGACAGUUCGGUCCCUAUCUGCCGUGGGCGCUGGAGAACUGAGGGGGGCUGCUCCUAGUACGAGAGGACCGGAGUGGACGCAUCACUGGUGUUCGGGUUGUCAUGCCAAUGGCACUGCCCGGUAGCUAAAUGCGGAAGAGAUAAGUGCUGAAAGCAUCUAAGCACGAAACUUGCCCC
This 2438-nucleotide ribosomal RNA is filed under the name Escherichia coli. RNAcentral's name for it is "partial 23S ribosomal RNA". It matches the Rfam family "Bacterial large subunit ribosomal RNA", at positions 374 to 2800 of the family's 2925-position model. The record is from RNAcentral. Lineage: Bacteria; Pseudomonadati; Pseudomonadota; Gammaproteobacteria; Enterobacterales; Enterobacteriaceae.